AUCUCUCUCAUUUCAAAACGAAAUUUGGUGAUUCAUAAUUCUAUGAACUCCUAGAACAUUUCUAAGUGUGGACUGACUAGAGGCAUCACAAUUGGGGUGCUCUAAGGAUCUCAAAUCGUGGCAAAACAGAAGCUGUUCGUGCAGUGGUCUAUAUCCUGGACAGUGUUCGUACCUUGCUGUUUUCAGUCAUUUUCUCCUACCUCACGAAGUCGUUUCUGAAACUACAAGUAAGGUAAAUAAACUUUAAUCUUUCCUCUUGAUUUUCAUUUUUGAAUGAAGUCGAUCCAAGGUUUCUAGAGCUUCCACCAUCCGUUUUAAUUUUACUGCACAAAAGUUACGUUUUCAGGAAUCUCAUGGACAAAUGUUGCCCUUCAUUAUGCGCAUACAACAUUUGACUAAAUGUUUCUUGCAAUCAAAUAUCUGAAAAAAGGCUUGAAUCUUACCUAAGCGAUUUUCAUGCAACUUUUGCUUGCUUUGUCACUGAAUUGUUUCAUUAAGUGAUUGCAUUGGUUGUUUCCUUAUCCAAUUUAUAUAAAGACAGAAAGUACAGUGACAUUUGGAUUUCUACUAAAUUUUUCUUUUUUUCAUUUUUACGUGAAAUUUAUCUGAUAACAACAUUAAAUGGGUAUAAAAAAAGUCUUUCAAUUUCCAACGCUGAAUGAACUUGUAAUUUAAAACAACGAUUUAUAUUCCCACAACUUGAAUUGAUAAUGCAUCAUGUUACAAGUAUCAACAUUUCAUGUCAGAAAUCAACAUCGAUAUGACAAUAAUUAUCAAUGGAGUGAGUGUAUAUACAUGACAGUAAUUAUGAUUGGAGGGAGUGUAUACAUGAGUUAUUUUCUCAUGUGGGCGCCAUUAUUAUUAUUUUUUUUAAUGUGAAUGUGUUGUUAAGUUUUAUGAUUUAAUAGAGUUAAAUUUCAAUACAUGAUAAAACCACGUGGUUUAAUAGUAUUAGUAUGGCUUAAUAAUUCCUCGGAUUUCAAUAAAGUUUAGAAUCCUGGACCAGAUCGGAACUCUAUAUAUAUACAGAUCACCAUCUAUUGCUACAUACAUAUUUUAAUUACUUGAUUUGGGAGGACUAGAAAUAAGUUAAGACAUUUUCCACAUUCUGUUUUUCACCAAAUUAAAUCUGUCCGAGUUACAUGAUAUGGUCAUGAUCGAGAUAUUGUGAAAAGCAGUGGUAAAGCUAAGAUUUGAUAUUAAAUUAGACUAAAACAACAAAAUAACAAUUAACUGAGAAAGCGGGAAUUUAUAUAAUUAUAUUUAAUAAACUAAAAAUAAAAGUAUCUACAUGAAAUUUUGAAGGUACUAGCAGGGGCAGCCCAGGAUAGCCCUCCGCUAGCUUUGCCAUUGAACCUAAUAAAAUAAAUGGAAAAAAAAAGGAUUUAAAUUUUAAAUAUUAGGGAAAUAUGUUUUUAAGAGUAUGAUUGAUUGAUUAAUCAAUCAAUUAAUUACGUAUAAUAAAUUACGACUUGAUUUUAGACGGCUAGAUAAUAGAAAUUUCAUUAAGAAAUGAGUUUAUUCCUCGGGUAAAUGCUCAUUUAGUUUUUAUAUUUUGACUUAAGUGUAUAUUUAAUCUAUAUAUUUAAAGUGUACCUUAAGACACCCUUAAUAUUAAAUAUGUUAUAUUCCUACCCUUAAUUUUUUUUGUCAUUACAAUAAUACCCUUGCAAUAAUAUUCUUGGAGAUUUAAUGAAAAAAUAUUAAUUUACGAAAUCAACCUUAAAAGUAAAAUAAAAAAUAUUGUAAAAUUUUUUGUCAUUUAUUUUACUUUUAGGAUUUAUUUUAUAAAUUAAUUUUUUUAUUAAUAAGUAUUAGUAAGAUUGAUGUAAGAGUAUUAAAUAUUGUUUAAAGUUGGUUAGUAUUAAUUAAUUUAUAAAAUAGUAAUUAGCAAAAUUGUUGCAAGGGCACAAAAAAGACCAAUUCUUUUAGAAUGAUAUUUAUUGGUUAAUUUUCUAAUAAACAAUUAUUUUUUAAUUUGCUAAUUAAUUUUUUUAAUAGAUAAAUAAAUAAUGUCAAAGAAUAUUAGGGAUGGCAAAAAUCCCCACGGGGACGGGUACCCUCGGGGAUUUUCCCCAUUCGGGGAGGGUACGGGGAUAAUUUUAUACCCAAUUUUUUAUUCGAGGAGGGGACGGGGAAAAUUUUUUACCCAAUUUUUUAUUCGGGGAGGAGACGGGGAUGAGGUGGAAUCCCCAUCCCCUACCCAUUUCCCCAUUUUAAUUUUUAAUUUUAUUUUUAUUUUUAAAAUUACUAAUAAAUAAAUAACAAAAUUAUAAAUAUUGGCAAGAUAUGAGUAGAAUUUUGGGUGUGUCAUGUAUCUUUGAUCCAAGGUAUAAAAAGAAGUUCAUUUAAUAUUACUUUUCUAUGGUUUAUGGUGGUGUUAAAGAGUUGUAUGUUGGGAAAGUGGUCACCCUUUGCCAGGAAUUAGUGGAAGAGUAUCAAUUGAAGUUUUCACCAACUGUUUAUUGCUUUGAUUAUACUGGUAGUAGUUCUUCUAUUAGAUCUACAUGGGAUUCUUAUAAGAAAGCAACCAAAUGGAUGACAGGUUUUGAUGAUUAUGUAAACAAUGGAGAUUGUGCAGUUGUUGCAGAUGAAUUAGAUUCAUAUUUGGAUGA
RNAcentral lists this long non-coding RNA (2615 nucleotides) under Citrus sinensis (sweet orange). RNAcentral describes it as "long non-coding RNA (CSIN_LNC001120)". Lineage: Eukaryota; Viridiplantae; Streptophyta; Magnoliopsida; Sapindales; Rutaceae. The record is from RNAcentral.